GAGGGGCGGCGUGCCUAAACAUGCAAGUCGGAUGUGCCGCAAGGUGCAUGGCAGACGGGUGAGUAACGCGUAGGGAAUCUACCUCUUUGUGGGGAAUAACGCUCCGAAAGGAGUGGUAAUACCGCAUGAGACCGUGGACUGGGAUGUUUACGGUGAAACCUGGGGACCGCAAGGCCUGGGGCAAGGAGAGGAUCCUGCGUCUGAUUAGCUAGUUGGCGGGGUAAUGGCCCACCAAGGCGACGAUCAGUAGCCGGCCUGAGAGGGUGAUCGGCCACACUGGAACUGAGACACGGUCCAGACUCCUACGGGAGGCAGCAGUGGGGAAUUUUGCGCAAUGGACGAAAGUCUGACGCAGCAACGCCGCGUGGGUGAUGAAGGUCUUCGGACUGUAAAACCCUGUCGUCAGGGACGAAGGUUGGGGGGUUAAUAACCCUUCAGCUUGACGGUACCUGGAGAGGAAGCCCCGGCUAACUCUGUGCCAGCAGCCGCGGUAAUACAGAGGGGGCAAGCGUUAUUCGGAAUUAUUGGGCGUAAAGGGCGCGUAGGCGGUUUUUUAAGUCAGAUGUGUAAUCCCCGAGCUCAACUUGGGAACUGCAUCUGAGACUGGAAGGCUAGAGUACUGGAGAGGGUGGUGGAAUUCCUCGUGUAGCGGUGAAAUGCGUAGAGAUGAGGAGGAACACCAGUGGCGAAGGCGGCCACCUGGACAGUAACUGACGCUGAGGCGCGAAAGUGUGGGUAGCAAACAGGAUUAGAUACCCUGGUAGUCCACGCUGUAAACGAUGAACACUUGGUGUGGAGGGAGUUGACCCCUUCCGUGCCG
This 820-nucleotide ribosomal RNA is filed under the name uncultured Geothrix sp. RNAcentral's name for it is "bacterial SSU rRNA". It matches the Rfam family "Bacterial small subunit ribosomal RNA", at positions 35 to 848 of the family's 1533-position model. The record is from RNAcentral. Lineage: Bacteria; Pseudomonadati; Acidobacteriota; Holophagae; Holophagales; Holophagaceae.